Molecule: small RNA, 691 nt
Filed under: Pongo abelii (Sumatran orangutan)
Lineage: Eukaryota; Metazoa; Chordata; Mammalia; Primates; Hominidae
Description: retained intron
Source: RNAcentral
GUUCGCUCCUCGCCGCCCGCCUGCUCCGAGUAGAACGCUGUCCGCAGCUUGCGCAUUUCGCAGCCGCUGCCGCCUCGCCGCUGCUCCUUCGUAACGCCACUUCCAGUCACCGACACCAACAUGAACGGACAGCUCAACGGCUUCCACGAGGCGUUCAUCGAGGAGGGCACGUUCCUUUUCACCUCAGAGUCGGUCGGGGAAGGCCACCCAGAUAAGAUUUGUGAUCAGAUCAGUGAUGCUGUCCUUGAUGCCCACCUUCAGCAGGAUCCUGAUGCCAAAGUAGCUUGUGAAACUGUCGCUAAAACUGGAAUGAUCCUUCUUGCUGGGGAAAUUACAUCCAGAGCUGCUGUUGACUACCAGAAAGUGGUUCGUGAAGCUGUUAAACACAUUGGAUAUGAUGAUUCUUCCAAAGGUGUGUUUUAAUGAUUUUACUCAUUUUUUCUAGGUAACAGCUGUGAGGUUUGAAGAAACUCCUAGAAUGUUCCUGCUAAUCCUAAACUCCAGUUGUAUUUUCCUAUACACUAAGCCCUAUUCUGUUCAUUCUCUAAAAAGGUCUGAUGGUUUAGGUGUAUUUGAUUUCUUCAGCAGUGUUUAGAAUUCCAGAUAAUUGCUGUAAACAGCAGGUAUUUCUAGGACCUAAACAAGAUGUUGUGUUUUUUGCUUAUAGGUUUUGACUACAAGACUUGUAAUG